This 113-nucleotide unclassified non-coding RNA is filed under the name uncultured Glomus. RNAcentral describes it as "sequence contains ITS1". Lineage: Eukaryota; Fungi; Glomeromycota; Glomeromycetes; Glomerales; Glomeraceae. The record is from RNAcentral.
UUGAUUUUUAAAGCAAACCAAGCUUUUUUUACAAAGUAAGGUUUUGCGAAUAAUAUUUAAAACCCCACUCUUUUAAAAAUAAAUUUUUCAUUCAUAUAAUGAAUAAAAAAAGA